RNAcentral lists this ribosomal RNA (519 nucleotides) under uncultured eukaryote. RNAcentral describes it as "bacterial SSU rRNA". It matches the Rfam family "Eukaryotic small subunit ribosomal RNA", at positions 1162 to 1603 of the family's 1831-position model. The record is from RNAcentral.
GGGCACCACCAGGAGUGGAGCCUGCGGCUUAAUUUGACUCAACACGGGAAAACUCACCCGGCCCGGACACUGUAAGGAUUGACAGACUGAGAGCUCUUUCUUUAAUUCAGUGGGUGGUGGUGCAUGGGCCGUUUCUUAGUUGGGUGGAGCGAUUUGUCUGGGUUAAUUCCGAUAACGAAACGAGACUCUUGGCCUAUUUAAAUAGACGAAGGUAUUCUUAAGUACCUCGCGCCUUCUUAGAGGGGACAGGCGGCGGUCUAGUCGCAUGAAGGAGAGCAAUAACAGGUCUGUGAUGCCCCUAGAUGUCCGGGGCUGGCACGCCGCUACACUGAAAGAAUCAGUGGCGUAUACUUACUCGAAGAGCCGGUACCAGUAUUCUUGCCUGGAAGGAUGAUUUUCCUAACAGAAUCCAUAGCGGCCAAGCUGUGACACUCUUGCUUGAACAGCGUGCUCACAGUGGAACUAAAGCUAGACAGUAAGGCUCACAGCUUGCUGGGAGUGGCAACUGCUCUAGGUUAU